This is a long non-coding RNA of Chenopodium quinoa (quinoa), 1207 nucleotides long. RefSeq lists it as uncharacterized. The transcript is spliced from 4 exons. Lineage: Eukaryota; Viridiplantae; Streptophyta; Magnoliopsida; Caryophyllales; Amaranthaceae. The record is from RefSeq and is a predicted model, not a curated record.
ACUUUGAUAUUAGGUAGCAUUUGGGGGUAACAUUUAAAUUUUUUUUAUAAUUUUGUUUAUGUUUUUUAUUCGAAUAAAAACACUUAAUAUGAUAUUCUCAAUUUUUUUUUUGCAUAUUUGAAAUAAACCCACAGUCACAACUUUCUUCGUCCCUCAAGCUUUCAGCUUUUCACCCCCUUCUUGCUCUCUCCACUGAAGCCCCCGUCCACCGCAGUCCGCAACCUAUCUCCAUCGCAACAACCCGUACCAGCGAUUGAUACCUCUUGGCCUCCAUCUUCAACGGCUUCCUCCUUUUAGUUAGGGUUACGGUUAGUUCAGACUGGGUGAUAUUACUUCAAUUUGCACCCUUCUUGCUUGGCACACCCUUGGUUAAGUGAUGAUUUCUCUUCCUCCAAUCGUCUUGAUCGUAACUCUGAGGGUAUAGCUGCUUGGAAGGCAGGAGCCACUACUUUCAAGAUGGAGGUCUUAAUCAUACUUAGGCUCUGUACUGGAACAGUAAGGAUCAGGGGGAAACUCAAGAGGAUGAAAGUAGUAGCUUCAAACACAAAAGAAAUUGUUCGUGUUGCUUCUAUUUAAGCUGUUCAAUCCUAGUUUGUGGACACGAAAAUAGUCUUAAAACACCAAAAAAAAACAACACUUAGAUCAAGGGUUGCAAGGGGGAGAUUCAACGCAAAGAAAAAUCCAAUUAGGAAUGGAUUUGGAUAUGAUGUAGAUGACACAACAACAGAUUGGAACACCUGUCCACCAACAUCAAGAUAGAGUAGCAUAACAAUCUAAGAGGAAGGUCUAUAUCAAACUUCCAAACUGAGAUUAGGCAAGUAAUAGGCAAGACUACUACAUAAAAAAAUACACCAGUAUAUCAUUUCACAGUAAGGAAGGGGAGGAGGUUGAGAUUAGAAAUGGUGUCCAAACUUAGAUAGGGUAGAGUAAGGCAAUGGUGUUAUGCUGUUGUUACUGAUGUCAGUUGCUUAUACUGUUGUUUGUUGCUGCUACUACUGUCUGCUGCUGCUAUUUUCUACGACUACCAAUGUUUGCUGCUACUGCUGUCAUCUGGUAUUAAUGGUUGCUGGUACUGGUUAGCUGUUGUUUUCGCUAGCUAGCUGCGGCUAUGUGCUAUUAUUACUAUUGUUUGUUGCAUCCGCGCUGAUUGUAUGUUUGUAUAGAAAUUGGAGGUCUCAAGAGACUUAAGUUCACUUCAUUUCGAUUA